Molecule: ribosomal RNA, 931 nt
Filed under: Salmonella enterica subsp. enterica serovar Typhimurium
Lineage: Bacteria; Pseudomonadati; Pseudomonadota; Gammaproteobacteria; Enterobacterales; Enterobacteriaceae
Description: partial 23S ribosomal RNA
Rfam family: Bacterial large subunit ribosomal RNA
Source: RNAcentral
AGACCCGAAACCCGGUGAUCUAGCCAUGGGCAGGUUGAAGGUUGGGUAACACUAACUGGAGGACCGAACCGACUAAUGUUGAAAAAUUAGCGGAUGACCUGUGGCUGGGGGUGAAAGGCCAAUCAAACCGGGAGAUAGCUGGUUCUCCCCGAAAGCUAUUUAGGUAGCGCCUCGUGAAUUCAUCUCCGGGGGUAGAGCACUGUUUCGGCUAGGGGGCCAUCCCGGCUUACCAACCCGAUGCAAACUGCGAAUACCGGAGAAUGUUAUCACGGGAGACACACGGCGGGUGCUAACGUCCGUCGUGAAGAGGGAAACAACCCAGACCGCCAGCUAAGGUCCCAAAGUCAUGGUUAAGUGGGAAACGAUGUGGGAAGGCCCAGACAGCCAGGAUGUUGGCUUAGAAGCAGCCAUCAUUUAAAGAAAGCGUAAUAGCUCACUGGUCGAGUCGGCCUGCGCGGAAGAUGUAACGGGGCUAAACCAUGCACCGAAGCUGCGGCAGCGAACGUAUCACCCAAGACAACUUUACGGAGUUGACGAUUGACGGAGCGAAGCGACGUCAAAGCGUUCAUUAAAGUCGAGUUGGCUUAGGGAUACGUUCGUUGGGUAGGGGAGCGUUCUGUAAGCCUGUGAAGGUGUGUCGUGAGGCAUGCUGGAGGUAUCAGAAGUGCGAAUGCUGACAUAAGUAACGAUAAAGCGGGUGAAAAGCCCGCUCGCCGGAAGACCAAGGGUUCCUGUCCAACGUUAAUCGGGGCAGGGUGAGUCGACCCCUAAGGCGAGGCCGAAAGGCGUAGUCGAUGGGAAACGGGUUAAUAUUCCCGUACUUGGUGUUACUGCGAAGGGGGGACGGAGAAGGCUAUGUUGGCCGGGCGACGGUUGUCCCGGUUUAAGGGUGUAGGUGUGUGUUCCAGGUAAAUCCGGUUCACUUUAACAC